Long non-coding RNA from Aethalodelphis obliquidens (Pacific white-sided dolphin), 562 nucleotides. RefSeq lists it as uncharacterized. The record is from RefSeq and is a predicted model, not a curated record. The transcript is spliced from 2 exons. Lineage: Eukaryota; Metazoa; Chordata; Mammalia; Artiodactyla; Delphinidae.
CCCACCUGGAUGUGACCAUGCAGAAACGAAGGGGUGACCCUGGAGUAGAUAGAAAAGAAGGCUGCAGGCUGAGAACCCGGUGUCCCCUCGGCCUCGAAUGUGCCGGGAAGAUGGAGCGGUUACAAUGGGGAUGGACCCAGCGGCGCCCUGAGUGCCUCCGCUGGGACCCGUGGUCGAUGCCCGACGCGGUGUAAGGGGACCCUCAGUGUUGUCACAGAGCUCAAUGGAUUAUUCCAGAACGGACGCCCCCUCCCGAAUGGUUCCUUCCCGACUCGAAGGACUUCCCUCUACCCCUCAGUGCCCCAGCAGAGCCCCAUCUGGAAUAGAUCUCUCCACGGCCCAGCCCGAACACUGGCACUGGUUCUGGCAUUUUCCUGAGUGUCGAUCUCAGCUUGUCCUCUUCAUAUCAGCUGUGUGACUGGUUCAUUCCCUUUCUCUCUCUGUUCCUCCAUCUUCUCCACUGUGUAAUAGUAUCAAUCCUCACAAGCUUUCACGAGGUGUAAGUGAGAUGAUCCCAAUAAGAGUUUUCGCAGGGCCUGGCACAGAAUAAAUGUGAGAUAAA